CUAAGAUCAGGUUUAGGGUGAGGGUUAGGAGCUAGGAUCAGGUUUAGGGGCUAGGAUCGGGUUUAGGGUGAGGGUUAGGAGCUAGGAUCAGGUUUAGGGUGAGGGUUAGGAGCUAGGAGCUAGGAUCAGGUUUAGGGUGAGGAUUAGGAGCUAGGAUCAGGUUUAGGGUUAGGAGCUAGGAUCAGGUUUCGGGUGAGGAUUAGGAGCUAGGAUCAGGUUUAGGGUGAGGGUUAGGAGCUAGGAUCUGGUUUAGGGUGAGGGUUAGGAGCUAGGAUCAGGUUCAGGGUGAGGAUUAGGAGCUAGGAUCAGGUUUAGGGUGAGGAUUAGGAGCUAGGAUCAGUUUUAGGGUGAGGGUAGGAGCUAGGAUCUGGUUUAGGGUGAGGGCUAGGAGCUAGGAUCAGGUUUAGGGUGAGGGUUAGGUUUAGGAGCUAGGAUCAGGUUUAGGGUGAGGGUUAGGAGCUAGGAUCAGGUUUAGGGUGAGGGUUAGGAGCUAGGAUCAGGUUUAGUGUGAGGGUUAGGAGAUAGGAUCAGGUUUAGGGUUAGGAGCAAGGAUCAGGUUUAGGGCGAGGCUUAGGAGCUAGGAUCAGGUUUAGGGUGAGGGUUAGGAGCUAGGAUCAGGUUUAGGGUGAGGGUUAGGAGCUAGGAUCAGGUUUAGGGUGAGGGUUAGGAGCUAGGAUCAGGUUAGGGUGAGGGUUAGGAGCUAGGAUCACGUUUAGGUUGAGGGUUAGGAGCUAGGAUCAGGUUUAGGGUGAGGGUUAGGAGCUAGGAUCAGGUUUAGGGUGAGGAUUUGGAGCUAGGAUCUUUAAGGUUAGGUUUUAGGGUUAGGUUUUAAGGUCAGGUUUUAGGGUUAAGGUUAGGUUUUAGGGUUAAGGUCAGGUUUUAGGCUUAAGGUCAGGUUUAGGUUUUAUGGUUAAGUUUGAAGUUUAAGGUUAGGUUUUAGGUUUAACGUUAGGUUUUAAAUGGGACUGAAUUGUGUGUCCCCACAAGGUUAGUUAUACAAGACUGUGUGUGUG
Long non-coding RNA from Oncorhynchus tshawytscha (Chinook salmon), 1013 nucleotides. Lineage: Eukaryota; Metazoa; Chordata; Actinopteri; Salmoniformes; Salmonidae. The record is from Ensembl.